AAGCAGCACUUCUUCCACCUGGCUCAGGAAUGCUUGUAGAAUGCAAUCUCAGAUGGUUGGGUAUGAGCGUUUGCCCUGGGGCUUGGUUUAAGGAGCUGUGCUCGCCCAGCAAAAUCCAGGAGCUGUUCCUGCGACACCCUCGCUUGAGCAGCCUGGUGAGGAAAGUAGAGGCCAGGAACUUAAAUUUUAUGACCUUGUAAUGGCCAGAGGCUCAAUCCCGUGACAGAAGUCUCACUGGCCAAGGCAAUUACUAAAAACAUGAGGAAGGAAAAAACCCCACAACCCCCAAACCUGUCCUUUUUGCAGAUUACCAACUAAACGACCUGUGAGCUGCAAUAGUUCUGCAAAAGAUGCUCUCAGGAGUGUUUUUUGCAGGGAAAAAGGUCAUAAAUAAUAAUAAAAAAAUGCAUGUGUGUGUAUUUUACAAAGCAAGGGGAAAAAUUCCUUCCUCUUCAAGCCCAUGGUCUGUGAAUAAUUUGUGAACAAGAGAAGCAGCUCCAUCUAUCUCACAUAGUGUUUGUUACAAAUCAUUUGCUCAGGUGUAAAUCUUCCUGCCAGGAUGGGAGCAGCAAAUCCUCCUUCAAUUUUUGUCUGCUGAAAAACUUCCAUAGCUAAACAUGAGAAAUUGGAUAGCACCCUUAGAUAUUGCUGUAACUGAAAGGCCAACGAGUAAUUGUUGCAGAAAGGUGGUUCAGCCCUUCCAGCCUCUAUGGCCAAGACCAAGGAUGCUCCACGAGGCAGAGGCACUGAGAGACCACUUGCUCCGUCCUGUUGGACCAUCUGUUUGGACUGUAAGCUCUGCACAGGUCAAGUAUUAUUCACUGAAGAGAUUCAUGAAUAAUUCUGAAUAACUGGACCAAUAUAUUUAGAAACUGUGCAAUCUGCAAACAGGGAGAGGAAAAAGCCUCAAAUAAAUUAUACAUUGUGCCUUUUUCCUGCAUCUCUGGAAAUGGAUUUGAUUGCCUUAUCACAGUCCCUGCUAUAUCUAUUUUUUCCCCCCGAUAAACCCCAAAAUCUCUCCUGAUAUAUGACUAACCCGACAAGGAUGAAAUCAACCGAACAGAACCAGUCAUCCUGCUCACAGGGAGUUACUUUCCACUUGGAAAAUCUAAAUCAUUCAGCCACGUGUGUGUGAAGCAGUUGAAUUAACUGGGGCGAGGCGAAUCUAACCCCAACCGGAGGAUGCUUCACUUCAGAAGGCAAAACAACCCAGAAGCAGGAUGUGCAGAGCGGCGCCUGCGAGGUCCCCAAUCCGUGAUGCCACACGCCACCUCGUGUCGGGCACAGGGAGUAGCUGGGAGCUCCUGCCCCAAUUUCCAGCCAUCUGACGUCAUUUCAGUGCUAAGGGGGGAAUUUUGCUUGGUUUUAUUUCUUUACACCCCAAAUAUUGCAAAAAUAGGGGGUGUAACCGUGUGAAGAAGACCUUGGGUCCUCCAUGGUAGGCGCGGUAAUUGCGUGUUGGGUGCUGGUGCUGGGUUUUGGCUCGUGUAAUUAAAUUAUAUGUUGAAUACUGCUGGAUGGAGGACCUGAUCCUGCCUUUUUAUAUGGGAUGGAGUGACUUGGCCAAGGCCAGCCUCGGAGUUGUUUCCAGAUGGAGCUUUGUGAUUCCCAGCAUUUUCCCCAAGCACAGUAGAUGCAGGAACUGGGAGCACCUUCUAAAGAGGCUCCAGAUUUGGAAGGAUUUGUGGCUGUGACCAUUGUCCCUCCUGCAGCACAGUGCGUGCUUGUGGAGAUAGAUGGAGAGUCACAUGGACUGCUCAACUACUGAACGAACAACCCCCCUUCUGCACUCUCCCAAAUGCCUGAGGACAAGGCCUGAGAAACAAAAGCGGAUGGAAAGUCUUAUCAUAUGGCUGUAGGCAGUAAUCCUUCUUAUUUUCCACAGAAGUAUGUAAAGUAUUAUUUGAAUUCCCUGAGACUAACAGCCUACUUUUGGAGGUGAAACUGCCAAGGAUUUGUAAUUGUUCACAUUGUAGAGGAAAUAAUAGAAUAUCUCAAAAGUAAGGAAAUUCUUGCUCCAAAAAUACUUUUUUCUAUGGUAUUUAGGAAAACAAACCCAAAACAGCUCAUUAUGGCUUCUCUGUCCUAUUUUAGUCCUAUUUUCAAAUGCAUCAUCGCUCUUCUAGUGAUUUAUUACACCCCAUCUCAACUACAGUCAGCUCUAAAUUGCAGUUAAUUUUAGCAGAAUUUUCAUCUUCUGUGCAGAAAAGGUAUUUGAUACUUGUGAUCACAGCUGCUGGGUUGUUAUGGAUUAAGGAACCAUGAACGCUGGUACCAUGUACCCAAAGGGGCACGCUUCCACCGUGUGUUAAACCUCUACAACCCCCCUGAAACCCAGCGGCUUUCUCCCUGCACAUUACUGGGUUUCAGAAGCAAAGUUAGAAACCAGAAUGGGUAAUGUUUUCAGCUGAGGUUGAGGAGCGUGGCUCUAGAGUCCUUGGUGCUUGCAGACCACUCAC
Long non-coding RNA from Strigops habroptila (Kakapo), 2459 nucleotides. RefSeq lists it as uncharacterized. The transcript is spliced from 6 exons. NCBI's taxonomy places the organism in Eukaryota, Metazoa, Chordata, Aves, Psittaciformes, Psittacidae. The record is from RefSeq and is a predicted model, not a curated record.